Molecule: ribosomal RNA, 498 nt
Filed under: uncultured bacterium
Lineage: Bacteria
Description: bacterial SSU rRNA
Rfam family: Bacterial small subunit ribosomal RNA
Source: RNAcentral
CCCUGACGCAGCGACGCCGCGUGCGGGAUGACGGUCUUCGGAUUGUAAACCGCUUUCUCGGGGACGAUAAUGACGGUACCCGAGGAAGAAGCCCCGGCUAACUCCGUGCCAGCAGCCGCGGUAAGACGGAGGGGGCAAGCGUUGUCCGGAAUUACUGGGCGUAAAGCGCUCGUAGGCGGUCGCGUACGGCGGUGGUGAAAUCUCCCGGCUCAACUGGGAGAGGCCCGCCGCAACGGCGUGACUCGAGGGUGGUAGAGGCAGAUGGAAUUCCUGGUGUAGCGGUGAAAUGCGUAGAGAUCAGGAGGAACACCCGUGGCGAAGGCGGUCUGCUGGGCCACACCUGACGCUGAGGAGCGAAAGCUAGGGGAGUGAACGGGAUUAGAUACCCCGGUAAUCCUAGCUGUAAACGAUGGAUACUAGGUGUCAGCGGUAUCGACCCCGCUGGUGCCGCAGCUAACGCGAUAAGUAUCCCGCCUGGGGAGUACGGCCGCAAGGUUG